RNAcentral lists this ribosomal RNA (465 nucleotides) under uncultured bacterium. Its description in RNAcentral is "bacterial SSU rRNA". It matches the Rfam family "Bacterial small subunit ribosomal RNA", at positions 28 to 507 of the family's 1533-position model. The record is from RNAcentral.
GACGAACGCUGGCGGCGUGCCUAACGACAUGCAAGUCGAACGGAAGUUAGAGCUUCGGUUUAACUUUAGUGGCGAACGGGUGAGUAACGCGUGAGGAACCUGCCUUUCAUGGGGGACAACAGUUGGAAACGACUGCUAAUACCGCAUGAUGCUUUUGGGAGACAUCUCCUGGAAGCCAAAGCUUUAUGUGCUGAAAGAUGGCCUCGCGUCUGAUUAGCUAGUUGGUGAGGUAACGGGCCCACCAAGGCGACGAUCAGUAGCCGGACUGAGAGGUUGAACGGCCACAUUGGGACUGAGAUACGGCCCAGACUCCUACGGGAGGCAGCAGUGGGGAAUAUUGGGCAAUGGGCGCAAGCCUGACCCAGCAACGCCGCGUGAAGGAAGAAGGCUUUCGGGUUGUAAACUUCUUUUGUCAGGGACGAGGAGAAGACGGUACCUGACGAAUAAGCCACGGCUAACUACGUG